Molecule: ribosomal RNA, 292 nt
Filed under: uncultured archaeon
Lineage: Archaea
Description: partial 16S ribosomal RNA
Rfam family: Archaeal small subunit ribosomal RNA
Source: RNAcentral
GCGCGAAAACUUUACAAUGCUGGCAACAGCGAUAAGGGGACCUCGAGUGCCAGGAUACAAUCUUGGCUGUCGCGAUGCCUAAAAAGCAUUGCAUAGCAAGGGCCGGGCAAGACCGGUGCCAGCCGCCGCGGUAACACCGGCGGCUCGAGUGGUAACCGUUAUUAUUGGGUCUAAAGGGUCUGUAGCCGGCCGGAUAAGUCUCUUGGGAAAUCCAGCAGCUCAACUGUUGGGCUUUCAGGAGAUACUGUCUGGCUCGAGGCCGGGAGAGGUGAGAGGUACUUCAGGGGUAGGG